GGGGCUGCGCCCCCGCGGGGGGGCGGCGGCGGCGGGGGGGGGGGGGCGGGGGGCGGCGGGGGGGGCGCGGGAAGGGCGACGCGGCGGCUCCGCACGGACACACCGAGAGAGAGCAGCGGCGGGAGGAGCGGCGGGAGCGGAGGAUGAGGAGGAGGAAGAUGAGGAGGAGGAGGAGGAGGAGGAGGAGGAGGAGGGAGGGGCGGGGGCGCGCGCGCGCGCUCCCGACUCGAGGCGGCCCCGGUGGGGGAGUGCGGGGAGAGGAGAGCGGAGAGGGAGGGAGGGAGGGGUGGGGGGGGGUGGCGGUGGUGGUGGUGAGGGAGGGAGGCAGGCACGCGGACGGCGCGUGCGCGUGCGCGCGGCGGCGCCACGCGGCCGCGCACGUAGCGCGCGCGGGGGGUCGAGGAGCGGGAGGCGGGCGCGGGGGGGGGGGCGGGGGGGGGGGAAGGCGACGGGAGGAGUUGCGUAAGCGGUGGCGGGAACUGCGCGUGCGCAAAGCCACGCCCCGAGCGGCCGCGCCUCCUCUCUGGGCCACGCCCACUCUGCGCGCGGCUGCUGGGCACGCCCCUCCCCCCGUAACGGGGAUCCCGGUAAUGGGGGAUCCCGGUAAUGGGGAUCCUGGUGGGCCCCGGUAAUGGGGAUCCCGGUAACGUGGGAUCCCGGUAAUGGGGGAUCCCGGUAAUGGGGGAUCCCGGUAAUGGGGGAUCUUGGUGGGCCCCGGUAAUGGGGAUCCCGGUAACGGGGGAUCCCGGUAAUGGGGGAUCCUGGUGGGCCCCGUUAAUGGGGGAUCUCGGUAAUGGGGAUCCUCAUGGGCCCCGGUAAUGGGGGAUCCCGGUAACGGGGAUCCCGGUAAUGGGGAUCCUGGUGGGCCCCGUUAAUGGGGGAUCCCGGUAAUGGGGAUCCCGGUAAUGGGGGAUCCCGGUAAUGGGGGAUCCCGGUAACGGGGGAUCUUGGUGGGCCCCGGUAAUGGGGAUCCCGGUAACGGGGGAUCCCGGUAAUGGGGGAUCCUGGUGGGCCCCGUUAAUGGGGGAUCUCGGUAAUGGGGAUCCUCAUGGGCCCCGGUAAUGGAGGAUCCCGGUAAUGGGGAUCCUGGUGGGCCCCGUUAAUGGGGGAUCCCGGUAAUGGGGAUCCCGGUAAUGGGGGAUCCUGGUAAUGGGGGAUCCCGGUGGGCCCCGGUAAUGGGGGAUCCCGGUAACGGAGGAUCUCGGUAAUGGGGGAUCCCGGUAAUGGGGGAUCCCGGUAAUGGGGGAAUCCCAGUAACGGGGGAUCCUGGUGGGCCCCGGUAAUGGGGGAUCCCGGUAAUGGAGGAUCCCAGUAAUGGGGAUCCCGGUAACGGGGGAUCCUGGUGGGCCCCGGUAAUGGGGGAUCCCGGUAAUGGAGGAUCCCGGUAACGGGGGAUCCUGGUAAUGGGGAUCCCGUUAAUGGGGGAUCCAGGUAACGGGGGAUCCUGGUAAUGGGGGAUCCCGGUGGGUCCCGGUAAUGGAGGAUCCCGGUAACGGGGGAUCCUGGUAACGGGGGAUCCCGGUGAGCCUUGGUAAUGGGGGAUCCAGGUAAUGGGGGAUCCCGGUAACGGGGGAUCCCGGUAAUGGGGGAUCCAGGUAACGGGGGAUCCCGGUAAUGGGGGAUCCAGGUAAUGAGGGAUCGGGGUAAUGGGGAUCCCGGUAAUGGGGGAUCCAGGUAACGGGGGAUCCCGGUAAUGGGGGAUCCCGGUAAUGGGGGAUCCAGGUAACGGGGGAUCCCGGUAAUGGGGGAUCCCGGUAAUGGGGGAUCCUGGUGGGCCCCGGUAAUGGGGGGCUGGCAGAGUGCACCCCGGUAAUGGGGGAUCCCGGUGCACCCCGUCUGGGUGGGGUAAAUAGCACGGUGCACCUCGUUAGCAGGGGGCUCCCAGGUCACACAGUUUGGGGUGACAGUGACAUGGGGCACCCCAUUAGUGGAGCCUCCCAGUAUUCCCAGUUCAGGGGGAUGACGGCUCCUGGGUCUCCCGGUGCACUCAGAUGGGGGGGCAGAGCUGGAAUGGUGCCCCCGUUAUUGAGCCGCCUUUGUUCUCCUCUAUGUUUUAAUUUUAUUGAUCACUUUUUCCAGCAGAUCCCAAACCAGCAGUGCAUGGGAUUUCUCCAGGGUUCCCAUUAUCCUGCCCAGCCCUCUGAGAACUCCUCGGCUCCUGUCACUUCUAUGUGGAGGACACAGGUCCCUUUCUCCAGGGAUUCAGCCACUUCUGUGCCCCCCAGACCCAGAUAAGGCAGCGGAGCUCAGGGUGUAGCUAUCGCCAACCUCCAGUGCUGAAAAAUGGUGAAAUCAGAUAAAAACCUCUUGGAUUUCACCACAAAAAUGGGAUGUGUGGAGCAGGGAGGGGUCCUGUCCACCGGGCUUGUCUGGGCAGCGACGUGGGGUUGGUUUUCUCCCCACCCUAAACCAACAACCACUCUCUUCCUCCUCUUCCUCCUCCUCCUCUUCUUCCUCAUGCUUGAAGUGCAGCAUCCAGGUGAAUCCUGGGUGUUGCAGGACUUCCAGGAUAACCCUCCCAGGAAAACCCUUUGUGGCCAGGCUCACAUCCUACAAAUAAAAUAAAACAAAUAAAUAAAAUCUGAAUUUCUUGUGCAGGAAGACCCCCAAGGUCUCCUGCAGCCCUUGGGGGCUCCCCCAGCACAUUCCAGGGUCUCCUGGAAGAUGCUCCGUGAGGAAUCCAGCUGGAAAAGCCAUGCACACGGUGCAGAGAGCAGUAUUCCAGGGAAAUACUGCAGGAUGGCUGGUUGGGAGUGUGACAAACACCAGCAGGAAGCUUAAAAAUCCACAAUAAAGGCUUUUAUAUGGGAAAAAAAUAAAAGGAAGGGUGAAAAAUUUCUGUCGCUUCUGGGGUGGCAGCCUCAGCCGUGCUCUGGAGUUUGGAUCCAGGAACUCAUCCGCUGCCUCCAUGAGGCGUUAAAUAUGGAUUUAAUUAAUCUCAGCCCACAAAAGUGCUCUGAAGGGCUUGGGGGUGCCACAACCUCCCUCGUUUUAAGGAGGAAGCACAACUGUCAGAAGCUGGGAAUCAUCCUUAGCCUUCCACCACUGGAAACUGGGAUUGAACCUUGUUUUUUUUAUCCCAUUCCUUCCCCAACGAGAUUUAUUUUUGUGUAAAAGUGGUAAACUUUGCUGUUUAAAAAAGAUAAGUCAGUGCCGAGCCAGGGAGGGAGGGAGCAGGGAUUCAAGGCAGGAAUGGGGAUUUGAGGAAGGAACGGGGAUUUGAGGAGGGGAG
This is a long non-coding RNA of Corvus moneduloides (New Caledonian crow), 3232 nucleotides long. Lineage: Eukaryota; Metazoa; Chordata; Aves; Passeriformes; Corvidae. The record is from Ensembl.